Amblyraja radiata (thorny skate) is the source of this 91-nucleotide long non-coding RNA. RefSeq lists it as uncharacterized. Lineage: Eukaryota; Metazoa; Chordata; Chondrichthyes; Rajiformes; Rajidae. The transcript has 3 exons. The record is from RefSeq and is a predicted model, not a curated record.
AAAUAUAUUUAAAGAAGGCCGAGAGUUCUAUUUGCUUUGUUGGACACUUGACUAAUAUGCGUCGCCCAACUUAAAUCUUUGCUUAAUUCGA